UCUCACACACCGUUCUUCUCUCUCACGAUUAAAAUCGAUCUUUCUUACUCUAGUUGUUUUUCAUCGAACUCAAUCUUGAUCUCUCUCGCAAAUCGCAUAUCUGAAACCGAACAAGAAAGUCAAUAUAAUCUAAUCGAAAUUUGAACUCGAUCUGAUCUGAGCUCUCUUGCAUUUUGUUAGAUCUUCUCUCGCUCUAGCUGUUUAUUGAACUUGAUCUAUCUCGCAAAUCGCAGAUCCAAAAUCGAACAAGAAAGUUGAUCUGAUUUGAUAGAAAUCUGAACUCGAUCUGAUCUGAUCUCUCUCGCAUUUUGUUAGAUCUGCCGAUUAACAAGAUCGAUGCGGUACUUUAACUGGUUCUAUAAGGACAAGGAAUAAGGAAGCGAAUGGAUUUCUUAAAAGAGAAGUGAGCCCAAAAAAUGGAAGCAGAGUUCUGGUAUAGUUCAACAAUUUAGAAUUUGAAGCUUUGCAUGGCCCCAUUUGUUGUACAAUAUUUAUUUUUUGAUCACUUGUCAAAUAUUCUUAGAUUUAUGGUUCAAAUCCCAUAAACUAUAAAAAGAAAAAUCUAAGAUUUAUGGUUUCUUUCUCUAUUUGAUUUAGUAAAUGUUUUUUCUUCUUGUUGUCUUUUCUGGUUUGUUUUGGUCCAACAUUUUGAACAUGAUACACUCUAGGCUGUGCGCAGAGUGUAGUAACUAGUGAUACAUAUCCUAUUUGGCUGUAGAAUUGUUACAUAGCAAAACUAAACUGGUUGAUUAACUGGGGUGUGACCGCAGGCAACAACAAUUCUGUUGUGUUGUCGUUGAAAGUUGCUCUAGAAAAUGGGAGAUAGAAAGAUGGGGAUACAAAAGAAUUAAUAUAUUGCUCUUGUCAUACAUAAUGUUUCAUUUUUUAGUUGAUGACAUGAUAAAGAGUUGUUUAAUACUUUGUCGAAUUGCAAUGGAUGACCUGGUGGACAAAGUGUUCACUCUCCAAGUGUGAUUGCUAGGUUUGAGUAUUAUUGCUAUGCAAUGCAACUUUUCCUUUGCCUAUUAACCUCUGCUAUGGAUUGUAAGAAACAAAAAACAAAAACAAAUACAAUACUUUGCAAGAGUAGAUAGUGAUAGUUGAUAGUUAUGGUUUAUCAAAAUCUGUGGAUGGAAUGGAGAUGCAUCAGCUAUUCGAUAAAGAAAUAUGUUGUAAUUCUUUUCUCAAAUUGAUUGUUAAGAAUGACUAUAGUUUGUUGAUCAAGUUUGUUAGAAUUAGUGGAAGAUUGAUCUUGGCUCAACAACACUUUAAUCAACUAUUAUGUGUCCUGUAGCCCUUGGAUGAGUUGCUUGGGCUUUAGUGUCCGUGUUUUCUACUAGUACUCUAGCUGUGUUUUCUCCUGGUGCUUCGGCUGUGGUUGUAGCUGUGUUGUGUUUUUAUGAAAUUUUCAAUGACAUUUUGUAAUAACCCGACCCUGUCACCAACUUUACUUCCCUCAUUAUAUGUGUGAUUAUAUGUGUUUAUGUGUUUGAUGCGAAACUCCAUGUUUCAAUGUGUGAAUUACAUGUUUAUCAAUUUGUAUCUGUCAGUUAUGAGAAAAUCUGUUGAAAUUGUGACAUUUGGACUACAAAUUGAAAGCCUUAGAGGCGCGAUAAACUGAAAUUGAUUUUACAGUUAUGAUGAGCAUGAUUUUUCGAACAUAUUAUGAAGUUUUGUAAAAAUUUGAUUCAUAAUGAACUAAUUAGAUUUAUUUAAAUUAAGCUCUUAAUUAAGCCUUAAACUUAGACUUAAUGAGUGAAGUCUUGUUAGACAUACAAUAUAUACAUGAGCCUUAAGCCAGACUCAACCAAACAUAAUAAUAUCUCCUGGAAAGGGUUCUAGAGAAAGAAAGAAGAGAAAAGAGAGAAGAAGAAGAGAGCUCAAUAUAGGAGCUUGGAAUUUGGGGAUUCAAUGGGAAAAUCAAGACAAUAGCUCAAGGUAAGUGUAAAUCAUCUAGACUACCCAUUAAACUUAGACUUAAUGGGUGAAGUCUUGUUAGACAUACAAUAUAUACAUGAGCCUUAAGCCAGACUCAACCAAACAUAAUAAUUUCUCCUGGAAAGGGUUCUAGAGAAAGAAAGAAGAGAAAAGAGAGAAGAAGAAGAGAGCUCAAUAUAGGAGCUUGGAAUUUGGGGAUUCAAUGGAAAAAUCAAGACAAUAGCUCGAGGUAUGUGUAAAUCAUCUAGACUACCCUAAAUCUCUCUCUAAUUUCUUAGCAUCAAGCUUUAAAAUGAAGUUUUUACACUCAUAGAAGUUAGGGUUUUGGAAUAAUGAUCUUAUUUGAAUAAUUAUCAUGAAAUUCAUAGGAAUUCAUGACAUUGUUUGAUUUAAGAGUUGAUUCUUGUAUUUUGAGUUUGUCUUGAGUGAGAUUGAGAGAAAUCACCUUCUAAUCUUUAGUAUUUGCAUGCUUUGAACUCAUAUAUGUAUAUAUGUUUGUGUAUGUUUGUAUAUAUCAUGUAAAC
Molecule: long non-coding RNA, 2462 nt
Organism: Camellia sinensis
Lineage: Eukaryota; Viridiplantae; Streptophyta; Magnoliopsida; Ericales; Theaceae
Source: RefSeq, a predicted model, not a curated record